GCAGGCAUAGUUUUAAUACAAACAUUAGACUGUGACCCUAAAGAUAGAAGUUAAAUUCUUCUUGCCCGCC
This 70-nucleotide transfer RNA is filed under the name Sitta yunnanensis (Yunnan nuthatch). Its description in RNAcentral is "tRNA-His". It matches the Rfam family "tRNA". From Rfam's summary of the family: Transfer RNA (tRNA) molecules are approximately 80 nucleotides in length. Their secondary structure includes four short double-helical elements and three loops (D, anti-codon, and T loops). Further hydrogen bonds mediate the characteristic L-shaped molecular structure. tRNAs have two regions of fundamental functional importance: the anti-codon, which is responsible for specific mRNA codon recognition, and the 3' end, to which the tRNAs corresponding amino acid is attached (by aminoacyl-tRNA synthetases). tRNAs cope with the degeneracy of the genetic code in two manners: having more than one tRNA (with a specific anti-codon) for a particular amino acid; and 'wobble' base-pairing, i.e. permitting non-standard base-pairing at the 3rd anti-codon position. The record is from RNAcentral. Lineage: Eukaryota; Metazoa; Chordata; Aves; Passeriformes; Sittidae.